This 772-nucleotide small RNA is filed under the name Pan troglodytes (chimpanzee). Its description in RNAcentral is "processed transcript". The record is from RNAcentral. Lineage: Eukaryota; Metazoa; Chordata; Mammalia; Primates; Hominidae.
GGCUGAAGUGGGAGGAUCCACCAGGAGGCGGAGGUUGCAGUGAGCUCAUAUCACACCACCACACUCCAGCCUGGGCGACAGAGUGUUACACUAUCUUAAAACAAACAAAAAAAGGAAGAUAGAGAUGAUGAGAAAAAGUCCAAGAUUGAAGAAGAUAUGGGUUCAGAUGAAGAGGAUGACAAUGGUAAGGAUAAGGAAAAGAAAACCAACAAGAUCAAGGAGAAAUCAUUGAUUGGGAAGAACUAAACAAGAUCAAGAACAUUUGGAUCAGAAACUCUGAUGACAUUCACCCAGGAGGAGUAUAGAGAAUUCUACAAGAGCUUCACCAGUGACUAGGAAGACCAUCUGGCAGUCAAGCACUUCUCUGUAGAAGGUCAGUACUCCUGCAUUUGUACCAACGAAAACUCACGUGCUGCUUCAUCGAAUGAGUGGAAAAGGACUAGCUGCCCAUUAUUUCUUUCCAAGACAGCCUUGCAUUUUUGGUGAUAAGAUGGUCUCUAUACAAAUAACACUGAAUAACACUACUGAUCGAAAGAUAGAAAAUAUCCACAUAGGGGAAAAAAAACUUCCUAUAGGCAUGAAAAUGCAUGUUUUUAAUCCAAUAGACUCUCUUGAGCCUGAGGGAUCCAUUACAGUUUCAAUGGGUAUUGACUUUUGUGAUUCUACUCAGACUGCCAGUUUCCAGUUGUGUACCAAGGAUGAUUGCUUCAGUGUUAAUAUUCAGCCACCUGUUGGAGAACUGCUUUUACCUGUGGCCAUGUCAGAGAAAGAU